AUAUCAGUCAUGCAUAGCAUAUCAAUAGCGGAGGAAAAGAAACUAACAAGGAUUCCCUUAGUAACGGCGAGUGAAGCGGGAAGAGCUCAAAUUUGAAAUCUUCAGGGUUUUACCUUGACGAAUUGUAGUUUAAAGAAGUGAUUUUCUGUUGAAGUUUUGGUAAAAGUUCUUUGGAAUAGGACAUCAUAGAGGGUGAGAAUCCCGUAUUUGACCAUUACUUUCAGCUUUGUGAUACACUUUCAAAGAGUCGGAUUGUUUGGGAAUGCAGUCCAAAAUGGGUGGUAAAUUUCAUCUAAAGCUAAAUAUUGGCGAGAGACCGAUAGCGAACAAGUACCGUGAGGGGAAAGAUGAAAAGAACUUUGAAAAGAGAGUUAAACAGUACGUGAAAUUGUCAAAAGGGAAGCGUUUGACACCAGUGUUGUUUUCUCGAAAAUCAAUUAAAAAGAGUUGGAUUUUGUGUUGUAUUGACUUUAUCAGCUUUCUUCACUCUUUUCCAGCUUUUUUUAAUGCACUUUUCGUUUAACAAGUCAACAUCAGUUUCUUUUGUUGUAAAAAGGUCAUUGGAAGGUGGCUUUCUCUUCGGAGAAAGUGUUUAUAGCCUUUGACUCAUGCAAUCGGAGAGACUGAGGUCUGCAGCGUAGAUCCUUCGGGGUUAGAUACAUUUGUGCUAAGUUAUAGCUUUUCAUAGACAACUUGUUGACUAUGUUUAGUCUUGUAGCUUACUCGCUUAUGCUAUUUUACCUACGCUUAGGAUGUUGAACUCUAUCACACACAG
Molecule: ribosomal RNA, 775 nt
Filed under: uncultured Neocallimastigales
Lineage: Eukaryota; Fungi; Neocallimastigomycota; Neocallimastigomycetes; Neocallimastigales
Description: partial large subunit ribosomal RNA
Rfam family: Eukaryotic large subunit ribosomal RNA
Source: RNAcentral